UAGGGAAUCUUCCACAAUGGACGCAAGUCUGAUGAGCAACGCCGCGCGAGUGAAGAAGGUCUUCGGAUCGUAAAACUCUGUUGUUAGAGAAGAACACGAGUGAGAGUAACUGUUCAUUCGAUGACGGUAUCUAACCAGCAAGUCACGGCUAACACGCGCCAG
RNAcentral lists this ribosomal RNA (162 nucleotides) under uncultured bacterium. RNAcentral's name for it is "partial 16S rRNA". It matches the Rfam family "Bacterial small subunit ribosomal RNA", at positions 355 to 511 of the family's 1533-position model. The record is from RNAcentral.